RNAcentral lists this long non-coding RNA (503 nucleotides) under Sorghum bicolor (sorghum). RNAcentral's name for it is "long non-coding RNA (SBIC_LNC008983)". The record is from RNAcentral. Lineage: Eukaryota; Viridiplantae; Streptophyta; Magnoliopsida; Poales; Poaceae.
CUUAUGUUUCCAACCCAUUAGUUGAUUGAAGAUCUCAUAAUUCUGGUGUAAUCAAGUUCUCAGGUACUGAAAUUGAGACACCAGAUUCAGAAGAAAAUUUGACUGCCUGAAGAAACAGCGAAAUAACGGGACUCAGCACUGAACAUUGGGAAGUAGCACACAUCAUCUAGCCCAACUCUAGCACUCUAAGAACAAAUCUAACAGAUAUGCUAUCAAUGUUAUCUAGGCUAUUUUUACAUUUUGCUAUCUGAUUUGCUAAAAUAGCAAGUUGCUAUUUCUAAACUUUCGCUUGUCAUAUAUAGCAUGUCGUCCUCACUAGGUAUCUUAUGCUUUGAGUGCACAAUGACUAAAUCUAGUUUAAUGCCGUCAGAUUACAAGGGCAGAAGAGUGGCUUACUCGCGCAGGCGCGGCGAAGCUGAAGCGGCUAUGGAGGUCAUGUGGCCAACGGACUGCGGUGGACCGGCAUCUGCUUCGGCAGCGCGGCGCCGCGCGCACGGAUGCGG